AAUAGAUACCCGGGUAGUCCAUGCCGUAAACGUUGGGCACUAGGUGUGGGGGGACAUUCCACGUUUUCCGCGCCGUAGCUAACGCAUUAAGUGCCCCGCCUGGGGAGUACGGCCGCAAGGCUAAAACUCAAAGGAAUUGACGGGGGCCCGCACAAGCGGCGGAGCAUGCGGAUUAAUUCGAUGCAACGCGAAGAACCUUACCAAGGCUUGACAUGAACCAGACCGGGCUGGAAACAGUCCUUCCCCUUGUGGGUUGGUUUACAGGUGGUGCAUGGUUGUCGUCAGCUCGUGUCGUGAGAUGUUGGGUUAAGUCCCGCAACGAGCGCAACCCUCGUUCUAUGUUGCCAGCACGUGAUGGUGGGGACUCAUAGGAGACUGCCGGGGUCAACUCGGAGGAAGGUGGGGACGACGUCAAAUCAUCAUGCCCCUUAUGUCUUGGGCUUCACGCAUGCUACAAUGGCCGGUACAAAGGGUUGCGAUACUGUGAGGUGGAGCUAAUCCCAAAAGCCGGUCUCAGUUCGGAUUGGGGUCUGCAACUCGACCCCA
RNAcentral lists this ribosomal RNA (546 nucleotides) under uncultured bacterium. RNAcentral describes it as "bacterial SSU rRNA". It matches the Rfam family "Bacterial small subunit ribosomal RNA", at positions 777 to 1320 of the family's 1533-position model. The record is from RNAcentral.